RNAcentral lists this ribosomal RNA (253 nucleotides) under uncultured bacterium. RNAcentral's name for it is "partial 16S ribosomal RNA". It matches the Rfam family "Bacterial small subunit ribosomal RNA", at positions 524 to 776 of the family's 1533-position model. The record is from RNAcentral.
UACGUAGGGGGCAAGCGUUGUCCGGAAUCAUUGGGCGUAAAGGGCACGUAGGUGGUCUUGUUUGUCUGGGGUGAAAUCCUUGAGCUUAACUCAAGAAGUGCCCUAGAAACGGCAAGACUCGAGUCCUGGAGAGGGUGGUGGAAUUCCCGGUGUAGCGGUGAAAUGCGUAGAGAUCAGCAGGAACACCCAGGGGGAAAGCAGCCGACUGGGCAUCUACUGACGCUGAGGUGCGAGAGCGUGGGGAGCGAACCGG